RNAcentral lists this ribosomal RNA (253 nucleotides) under uncultured bacterium. RNAcentral's name for it is "partial 16S ribosomal RNA". It matches the Rfam family "Bacterial small subunit ribosomal RNA", at positions 524 to 776 of the family's 1533-position model. The record is from RNAcentral.
GACGUAGGGUGCGAGCGUUGUCCGGAUUUAUUGGGCGUAAAGAGCUCGUAGGCGGUUUGUCGCGUCUGCUGUGAAAACUCGGGGCUUAACCCCGGGCCUGCAGUGGGUACGGGCAGACUAGAGUGCGGUAGGGGAGAUUGGAAUUCCUGGUGUAGCGGUGGAAUGCGCAGAUAUCAGGAGGAACACCGAUGGCGAAGGCAGAUCUCUGGGCCGUAACUGACGCUGAGGAGCGAAAGCAUGGGGAGCGAACAGG